UAGAUAAUACCUACGGGAUAGUGGAACGUUACUCGCAAGAAUAAGCACCGGCUAACUCUGUGCCAGCAGCCGCGGUAAUACAGAGGGUGCAAGCGUUAAUCGGAUUUACUGGGCGUAAAGCGCGCGUAGGCGGCUAAUUAAGUCAAAUGUGAAAUCCCCGAGCUUAACUUGGGAAUUGCAUUCGAUACUGGUUAGCUAGAGUGUGGGAGAGGAUGGUAGAAUUCCAGGUGUAGCGGUGAAAUGCGUAGAGAUCUGGAGGAAUACCGAUGGCGAAGGCAGCCAUCUGGCCUAACACUGACGCUGAGGUGCGAAAGCAUGGGGAGCAAACAGGAUUAGAUACCCUGGUAGUCCAUGCCGUAAACGAUGUCUACUAGCCGUUGGGGCCUUUGAGGCUUUAGUGGCGCAGCUAACGCGAUAAGUAGACCGCCUGGGGAGUACGGUCGCAAGACUAAAACUCAAAUGAAUUGACGGGGGCCCGCACAAGCGGUGGAGCAUGUGGUUUAAUUCGAUGCAACGCGAAGAACCUUACCUGGCC
Molecule: ribosomal RNA, 535 nt
Filed under: uncultured bacterium
Lineage: Bacteria
Description: bacterial SSU rRNA
Rfam family: Bacterial small subunit ribosomal RNA
Source: RNAcentral